RNAcentral lists this ribosomal RNA (253 nucleotides) under uncultured bacterium. RNAcentral describes it as "partial 16S ribosomal RNA". It matches the Rfam family "Bacterial small subunit ribosomal RNA", at positions 524 to 776 of the family's 1533-position model. The record is from RNAcentral.
UACGGGGGGGGCAAGCGUUGUUCGGAAUUACUGGGCGUAAAGGGCGCGUAGGCGGCCUUCUAAGUCGGACGUGAAAUCCCUCGGCUUAACCGAGGAACUGCGUCCGAUACUGAAAGGCUUGAAUCCGGGAGAGGGAUGUGGAAUUCCAGGUGUAGCGGUGAAAUGCGUAGAUAUCAGGAGGAACACCUGUGGUGUAGACAGCUUACUGGACCAUUUCUGACGCUGAGACACGAAAGCGUGGGUAGCAAACAGG